GCAACCAUAAUUUAGGGACAAUGUGAAAAACACAAAAGUUCAUCUCAAGCACCGCGUCCGAAGAUUCAGUCAAUACAUGGGCACCUCCCCAGACAUACGAGUACAUCUAGAAAGGGCCCAUACGUAAAACUACAAAAGCCACCACAAGACCGUCAAACGGCAGGGAAUGGAUCAAGCCUAACAAGCCACACGGAUACCGUUUUAAAGGUAAGCAAAACAGGAACCACAUACGAACACCAAGGGCGUACAACGAAAACUGACAAGGAUUACAUGCAAACCGUUCAGUGCAAAAGCACAGAGCCGGCAAACACAAAUAUCCAAAGCACAUCUCACACGCCAACGCGUCAGCAAGACCCAACAUCACCGAACGCACCACGCCCCACAAUGCAAAAGCACUGCAAGCACAUGAAGUCGUCCAACAAUGCCGGAUCCGCAUCGCUAAGCAUGACAAAUUAAACGUGAGGGACAAAACCUGAGGGACGCGUGCUUCCGAGUCGGGACAACUGCAUCGGGGCGUGACUCAUUGAACAGCUAAAUCCAAGGGUUAACUUUAAUCUAGGACCAAAUGAAGGACCAAUAAGAAACCCAACGUAUUUAGAAGCUCAAUGUAGUCACGCCACGAGUCGGGACAACUGCAACGGGACGAGUCGGGACAAAUGCAUCGGGACGAGUCGGGACAACUGCAUCGGGGCAUGACUCAUUGAACAACUAAAUCCAAGGAUUAACUUUAAUCUAGGACCAAAUGAAGGACCAACAAGAAACCCAACGUAUUUAGAAGCUCAAUGUAGUCACGCCACGAGUCGGGACAACUGCAACGGGACGAGUCGGGACAACUGCAUCGGGACGAGUCGGGACAACUGCAUCGGGGCAUGACUCAUUGAACAACUAAAUCCAAGGGUUAACUUUAAUCUAGGACCAAAUGAAGGACCAAUAAGAAACCCAACGUAUUUAGAAGCUCAUUGUAGUCACCCCGCGAAGCCAACCAAGUUCCGAUUUUAGCCCAUCACCCAUGAAUCAUUUUGCCGACGUCUGUGAAGACUGGAGAAAGCACGGGGACGAUGCAUGGAACCCAACACCAGCUUGGUUGACACUGGUGAAGGGGCCCGAAUACCUCGAGAGCAUAGGAAAUAGCUUACCACAACUAGGACAACAUCUACCCGUGAGAUGCCAAUUCCUGUCCGAGUCAUGUUCACUACCACCUAAACCCGGGGGGAGCAGUCCAUGACUAAGGUGUUAGGGACAUUCCAAGCCAGCCAGCCAAGCUCACGAGCACCCCCAGCCAGUUUCAGAGAUGGACGAGGCGCCCCAGGACACCCCGUCCCUGCCACAGUCACAAAAAGUGACUAUUGCCCAAAGAUGUCCAAGCCAGUCACGCCCAGCAAGAGCUGGCAAAAAGUGUCCGAGAGCUCACAAAAAGUGUCCGAGAGCUCACAAAAAGGGUCCGAAAGCUGGCAAAAAGUGUCCGAGAGCUCACAAAAAGUGUCCGAGAGCUCACAAAAAGUGUCCGAGAGCUCCCAAAAAGUGUCCGAGAGCUGGCAAAAAGUGUCCGAGAGCUGGCAAAAAGUGUCCGAGAGCUGGCAAAAAGUGUAUUUUGCACGAAUGUUCAUCAACCCAAUAAUAAUAUCCUCAAAAAAAUUUGGAAUUUUUUGACAAACGGUGAAUUUUUUAAAAAUUAUAUAAGGGGCACAUUUUCUAGUUGAGGUACCUAGACUUGGAAUUGUUUCUUGAAAUUUUACAGGGACGUUGCCAAUAAUUAAAUAACACUUACCACAAAAAUUGGAAUUUUCUGGAAAGGGAUUAUUUAAUUAUAAGUUUUUAAAGUGCAGAAAAUAUUAAAAAUAUUAUUAAAAAAUAUUUAAAAAAUUAAAAAUAUAAUUAUGAUUAAAAUUUAUCAUGGGACUUGCAUCAUAAAACACAUAACAUGGACAUCAAAAAAUUCGUUGAAAACAAAAUUUGGAUUGCGUUACUAAGUGACUCGUGACUAGGGGCUCGUGAGUCGCGACUCGUGACUGGUGACUGGGGACUGGGGCUCGUGAGUCGCGAAUCGUGACUGGUGACUGGUGACUGGGGAAUGGUGACUGGGGACUGGGGACUGGUGACUGGGGACUGGUGACUGGUGACUGGGGACUGAUGACUGGGGGCUCGUGAAUCGCGACUCGUGACUGGGGGCUCGUGACUGGGGACUGGUGACUGGGGGCUCGUGAGUCGCGACUCGUGACUGGUGACUGGGGACUGGGGGCUCGUGAGUCGCGAAUCGUGACUGGUGACUGGUGACUGGGGAAUGGUGACUGGGGACUGGGGACUGGUGACUGGGGACUGGUGACUGGUGACUGGGGACUGAUGACUGGGGGCUCGUGAAUCGCGACUCGUGACUGGGGGCUCGUGACUGGGGACUGGUGACUGGGGGCUCGUGAAUCGCGACUCGUGACUGGGGGCUCGUGACUGGGGACUGGUGACUGGGGGCUCGUGAAUCGCGACUCGUGACUGGGGGCUCGUGACUGGGGACUGGUGACUGGGGGCUCGUGAAUCGCGACUCGUGACUGGGGGCUCGUGACUGGGGACUGGUGACUGGGGGCUCGUGAGUCGCGACUCGGGACUGGUGACUGGGGACUGGUGACUGGUGACUGGGGACUGAUGACUGGGGGCUCGUGAAUCGCGACUCGUGACUGAUGACUGGUGACUGGGGGCUCGUGACUGGGGACUGGUGACUGGGGGCUCGUGAGUCGCGACUCGUGACUUGUGACUGGUGACUCGUGACUGGUGACUGGGAGCUCGUGAGUCGCGACUCGUGACUGGUGACUGGGGACUGGUGACUAUUGACUGGGGGCUCGUGAGUCGCGACUCGUGACUUGUGACUGGUGACUCGUGACUGGUGACUGGGAGCUCGUGAGUCGCGACUCGUGACUAGUGACUGGUGACUGGGGACUGGUGACUAUUGACUGGGGGCUCGUGAGUCGCGACUGGUGACUGGUGACUGGGGGCUCAGGAGUCGCGACUGGGGACUGGUGACUGGGAGCUCGUGAGUCGCGACUCGUGACUAGUGACUGGUGACUGGGGACUGGUGACUAUUGACUGGGGGCUCGUGAGUCGCGACUGGUGACUGGUGACUGGGGGCUCAGGAGUCGCGACUGGGGACUGGUGACUGGGAGCUCGUGAGUCGCGACUCGUGACUAGUGACUGGUGACUGGGGACUGGUGACUAUUGACUGGGGGCUCGUGAGUCGCGACUCGUGACUUGUGACUGGUGACUCGUGACUGGUGACUGGGAGCUCGUGAGUCGCGACUCGUGACUAGUGACUGGUGACUGGGGACUGGUGACUAUUGACUGGGGGCUCGUGAGUCGCGACUCGUGACUUGUGACUGGUGACUCGUGACUGGUGACUGGGAGCUCGUGAGUCGCGACUCGUGACUAGUGACUGGUGACUGGGGACUGGUGACUAUUGACUGGGGGCUCGUGAGUCGCGACUCGUGACUUGUGACUGGUGACUCGUGACUGGUGACUGGGAGCUCGUGAGUCGCGACUCGUGACUAGUGACUGGUGACUGGGGACUGGUGACUAUUGACUGGGGGCUCGUGAGUCGCGACUCGUGACUUGUGACUGGUGACUCGUGACUGGUGACUGGGAGCUCGUGAGUCGCGACUCGUGACUAGUGACUGGUGACUGGGGACUGGUGACUGGGGACUGGUGACUGGGGACUGGUGACUGGGGACUGGUGACUGGGGACUGGUGACUGGGGACUGGUGACUGGGGACUGGUGACUGGGGACUGGUGACUGGGGACUGGUGACUGGGGACUGGUGACUGGGGACUGGUGACUGGGGACUGGUGACUGGGGACUGGUGACUGGGGACUGGUGACUGGGGACUGGUGACUGGGGACUGGUGACUAUUGACUGGGGGCUCGUGAGUCGCGACUCGUGACUAGUGACUGGUGACUGGGGACUGGUGACUGGGGACUGGUGACUGGGGACUGGUGACUGGGGACUGGUGACUGGGGACUGGUGACUGGGGACUGGUGACUGGGGACUGGUGACUGGGGACUGGUGACUGGGGACUGGUGACUGGGGACUGGUGACUGGGGACUGGUGACUGGGGACUGGUGACUGGGGACUGGUGACUAUUGACUGGGGGCUCGUGAGUCGCGACUCGUGACUUGUGACUGGUGACUCGUGACUGGUGACUGGGAGCUCGUGAGUCGCGACUCGUGACUAGUGACUGGUGACUGGGGACUGGUGACUGGGGACUGGUGACUGGGGACUGGUGACUGGGGACUGGUGACUGGGGACUGGUGACUGGGGACUGGUGACUGGGGACUGGUGACUGGGGACUGGUGACUGGGGACUGGUGACUGGGGACUGGUGACUGGGGACUGGUGACUGGGGACUGGUGACUAUUGACUGGGGGCUCGUGAGUCGCGACUCGUGACUUGUGACUGGUGACUCGUGACUGGUGACUGGGAGCUCGUGAGUCGCGACUCGUGACUAGUGACUGGUGACUGGGGACUGGUGACUAUUGACUGGGGGCUCGUGAGUCGCGACUCGUGACUUGUGACUGGUGACUCGUGACUGGUGACUGGGAGCUCGUGAGUCGCGACUCGUGACUAGUGACUGGUGACUGGGGACUGGUGACUGGGGACUGGUGACUGGGGACUGGUGACUGGGGACUGGUGACUAUUGACUGGGGGCUCGUGAGUCGCGACUCGUGACUUGUGACUGGUGACUCGUGACUGGUGACUGGGAGCUCGUGAGUCGCGACUCGUGACUAGUGACUGGUGACUGGGGACUGGUGACUGGGGACUGGUGACUGGGGACUGGUGACUGGGGACUGGUGACUGGGGACUGGUGACUGGGGACUGGUGACUGGGGACUGGUGACUGGGGACUGGUGACUGGGGACUGGUGACUGGGGACUGGUGACUAUUGACUGGGGGCUCGUGAGUCGCGACUCGUGACUUGUGACUGGUGACUCGUGACUGGUGACUGGGAGCUCGUGAGUCGCGACUCGUGACUAGUGACUGGUGACUGGGGACUGGUGACUAUUGACUGGGGGCUCGUGAGUCGCGACUCGUGACUUGUGACUGGUGACUCGUGACUGGUGACUGGGAGCUCGUGAGUCGCGACUCGUGACUAGUGACUGGUGACUGGGGACUGGUGACUGGGGACUGGUGACUGGGGACUGGUGACUGGGGACUGGUGACUGGGGACUGGUGACUGGGGACUGGUGACUAUUGACUGGGGGCUCGUGAGUCGCGACUCGUGACUUGUGACUGGUGACUCGUGACUGGUGACUGGGAGCUCGUGAGUCGCGACUCGUGACUAGUGACUGGUGACUGGGGACUGGUGACUAUUGACUGGGGGCUCGUGAGUCGCGACUCGUGACUUGUGACUGGUGACUCGUGACUGGUGACUGGGAGCUCGUGAGUCGCGACUCGUGACUAGUGACUGGUGACUGGGGACUGGUGACUAUUGACUGGGGGCUCGUGAGUCGCGACUCGUGACUUGUGACUGGUGACUCGUGACUGGUGACUGGGAGCUCGUGAGUCGCGACUCGUGACUAGUGACUGGUGACUGGGGACUGGUGACUAUUGACUGGGGGCUCGUGAGUCGCGACUCGUGACUUGUGACUGGUGACUCGUGACUGGUGACUGGGAGCUCGUGAGUCGCGACUCGUGACUAGUGACUGGUGACUGGGGACUGGUGACUAUUGACUGGGGGCUCGUGAGUCGCGACUCGUGACUUGUGACUGGUGACUCGUGACUGGUGACUGGGAGCUCGUGAGUCGCGACUCGUGACUAGUGACUGGUGACUGGGGACUGGUGACUAUUGACUGGGGGCUCGUGAGUCGCGACUCGUGACUUGUGACUGGUGACUCGUGACUGGUGACUGGGAGCUCGUGAGUCGCGACUCGUGACUAGUGACUGGUGACUGGGGACUGGUGACUGGGGACUGGUGACUGGGGACUGGUGACUGGGGACUGGUGACUGGGGACUGGUGACUGGGGACUGGUGACUGGGGACUGGUGACUGGGGACUGGUGACUGGGGACUGGUGACUGGGGACUGGUGACUGGGGACUGGUGACUGGGGACUGGUGACUGGGGACUGGUGACUGGGGACUGGUGACUGGGGACUGGUGACUGGGGACUGGUGACUAUUGACUGGGGGCUCGUGAGUCGCGACUCGUGACUAGUGACUGGUGACUGGGGACUGGUGACUGGGGACUGGUGACUGGGGACUGGUGACUGGGGACUGGUGACUGGGGACUGGUGACUGGGGACUGGUGACUGGGGACUGGUGACUGGGGACUGGUGACUGGGGACUGGUGACUGGGGACUGGUGACUGGGGACUGGUGACUGGGGACUGGUGACUGGGGACUGGUGACUAUUGACUGGGGGCUCGUGAGUCGCGACUCGUGACUUGUGACUGGUGACUCGUGACUGGUGACUGGGAGCUCGUGAGUCGCGACUCGUGACUAGUGACUGGUGACUGGGGACUGGUGACUGGGGACUGGUGACUGGGGACUGGUGACUGGGGACUGGUGACUGGGGACUGGUGACUGGGGACUGGUGACUGGGGACUGGUGACUGGGGACUGGUGACUGGGGACUGGUGACUGGGGACUGGUGACUGGGGACUGGUGACUGGGGACUGGUGACUAUUGACUGGGGGCUCGUGAGUCGCGACUCGUGACUUGUGACUGGUGACUCGUGACUGGUGACUGGGAGCUCGUGAGUCGCGACUCGUGACUAGUGACUGGUGACUGGGGACUGGUGACUAUUGACUGGGGGCUCGUGAGUCGCGACUCGUGACUUGUGACUGGUGACUCGUGACUGGUGACUGGGAGCUCGUGAGUCGCGACUCGUGACUAGUGACUGGUGACUGGGGACUGGUGACUGGGGACUGGUGACUGGGGACUGGUGACUGGGGACUGGUGACUAUUGACUGGGGGCUCGUGAGUCGCGACUCGUGACUUGUGACUGGUGACUCGUGACUGGUGACUGGGAGCUCGUGAGUCGCGACUCGUGACUAGUGACUGGUGACUGGGGACUGGUGACUGGGGACUGGUGACUGGGGACUGGUGACUGGGGACUGGUGACUGGGGACUGGUGACUGGGGACUGGUGACUGGGGACUGGUGACUGGGGACUGGUGACUGGGGACUGGUGACUGGGGACUGGUGACUAUUGACUGGGGGCUCGUGAGUCGCGACUCGUGACUUGUGACUGGUGACUCGUGACUGGUGACUGGGAGCUCGUGAGUCGCGACUCGUGACUAGUGACUGGUGACUGGGGACUGGUGACUAUUGACUGGGGGCUCGUGAGUCGCGACUCGUGACUUGUGACUGGUGACUCGUGACUGGUGACUGGGAGCUCGUGAGUCGCGACUCGUGACUAGUGACUGGUGACUGGGGACUGGUGACUGGGGACUGGUGACUGGGGACUGGUGACUGGGGACUGGUGACUGGGGACUGGUGACUGGGGACUGGUGACUAUUGACUGGGGGCUCGUGAGUCGCGACUCGUGACUUGUGACUGGUGACUCGUGACUGGUGACUGGGAGCUCGUGAGUCGCGACUCGUGACUAGUGACUGGUGACUGGGGACUGGUGACUAUUGACUGGGGGCUCGUGAGUCGCGACUCGUGACUUGUGACUGGUGACUCGUGACUGGUGACUGGGAGCUCGUGAGUCGCGACUCGUGACUAGUGACUGGUGACUGGGGACUGGUGACUAUUGACUGGGGGCUCGUGAGUCGCGACUCGUGACUUGUGACUGGUGACUCGUGACUGGUGACUGGGAGCUCGUGAGUCGCGACUCGUGACUAGUGACUGGUGACUGGGGACUGGUGACUAUUGACUGGGGGCUCGUGAGUCGCGACUCGUGACUUGUGACUGGUGACUCGUGACUGGUGACUGGGAGCUCGUGAGUCGCGACUCGUGACUAGUGACUGGUGACUGGGGACUGGUGACUAUUGACUGGGGGCUCGUGAGUCGCGACUCGUGACUUGUGACUGGUGACUCGUGACUGGUGACUGGGAGCUCGUGAGUCGCGACUCGUGACUAGUGACUGGUGACUGGGGACUGGUGACUAUUGACUGGGGGCUCGUGAGUCGCGACUCGUGACUUGUGACUGGUGACUCGUGACUGGUGACUGGGAGCUCGUGAGUCGCGACUCGUGACUAGUGACUGGUGACUGGGGACUGGUGACUGGGGACUGGUGACUGGGGACUGGUGACUGGGGACUGGUGACUGGGGACUGGUGACUGGGGACUGGUGACUGGGGACUGGUGACUGGGGACUGGUGACUGGGGACUGGUGACUGGGGACUGGUGACUGGGGACUGGUGACUGGGGACUGGUGACUGGGGACUGGUGACUGGGGACUGGUGACUGGGGACUGGUGACUGGGGACUGGUGACUAUUGACUGGGGGCUCGUGAGUCGCGACUCGUGACUAGUGACUGGUGACUGGGGACUGGUGACUGGGGACUGGUGACUGGGGACUGGUGACUGGGGACUGGUGACUGGGGACUGGUGACUGGGGACUGGUGACUGGGGACUGGUGACUGGGGACUGGUGACUGGGGACUGGUGACUGGGGACUGGUGACUGGGGACUGGUGACUGGGGACUGGUGACUGGGGACUGGUGACUAUUGACUGGGGGCUCGUGAGUCGCGACUCGUGACUUGUGACUGGUGACUCGUGACUGGUGACUGGGAGCUCGUGAGUCGCGACUCGUGACUAGUGACUGGUGACUGGGGACUGGUGACUGGGGACUGGUGACUGGGGACUGGUGACUGGGGACUGGUGACUGGGGACUGGUGACUGGGGACUGGUGACUGGGGACUGGUGACUGGGGACUGGUGACUGGGGACUGGUGACUGGGGACUGGUGACUGGGGACUGGUGACUGGGGACUGGUGACUAUUGACUGGGGGCUCGUGAGUCGCGACUCGUGACUUGUGACUGGUGACUCGUGACUGGUGACUGGGAGCUCGUGAGUCGCGACUCGUGACUAGUGACUGGUGACUGGGGACUGGUGACUAUUGACUGGGGGCUCGUGAGUCGCGACUCGUGACUUGUGACUGGUGACUCGUGACUGGUGACUGGGAGCUCGUGAGUCGCGACUCGUGACUAGUGACUGGUGACUGGGGACUGGUGACUGGGGACUGGUGACUGGGGACUGGUGACUGGGGACUGGUGACUAUUGACUGGGGGCUCGUGAGUCGCGACUCGUGACUUGUGACUGGUGACUCGUGACUGGUGACUGGGAGCUCGUGAGUCGCGACUCGUGACUAGUGACUGGUGACUGGGGACUGGUGACUGGGGACUGGUGACUGGGGACUGGUGACUGGGGACUGGUGACUGGGGACUGGUGACUGGGGACUGGUGACUGGGGACUGGUGACUGGGGACUGGUGACUGGGGACUGGUGACUGGGGACUGGUGACUAUUGACUGGGGGCUCGUGAGUCGCGACUCGUGACUUGUGACUGGUGACUCGUGACUGGUGACUGGGAGCUCGUGAGUCGCGACUCGUGACUAGUGACUGGUGACUGGGGACUGGUGACUAUUGACUGGGGGCUCGUGAGUCGCGACUCGUGACUUGUGACUGGUGACUCGUGACUGGUGACUGGGAGCUCGUGAGUCGCGACUCGUGACUAGUGACUGGUGACUGGGGACUGGUGACUGGGGACUGGUGACUGGGGACUGGUGACUGGGGACUGGUGACUGGGGACUGGUGACUGGGGACUGGUGACUAUUGACUGGGGGCUCGUGAGUCGCGACUCGUGACUUGUGACUGGUGACUCGUGACUGGUGACUGGGAGCUCGUGAGUCGCGACUCGUGACUAGUGACUGGUGACUGGGGACUGGUGACUAUUGACUGGGGGCUCGUGAGUCGCGACUCGUGACUUGUGACUGGUGACUCGUGACUGGUGACUGGGAGCUCGUGAGUCGCGACUCGUGACUAGUGACUGGUGACUGGGGACUGGUGACUAUUGACUGGGGGCUCGUGAGUCGCGACUCGUGACUUGUGACUGGUGACUCGUGACUGGUGACUGGGAGCUCGUGAGUCGCGACUCGUGACUAGUGACUGGUGACUGGGGACUGGUGACUAUUGACUGGGGGCUCGUGAGUCGCGACUCGUGACUUGUGACUGGUGACUCGUGACUGGUGACUGGGAGCUCGUGAGUCGCGACUCGUGACUAGUGACUGGUGACUGGGGACUGGUGACUAUUGACUGGGGGCUCGUGAGUCGCGACUCGUGACUUGUGACUGGUGACUCGUGACUGGUGACUGGGAGCUCGUGAGUCGCGACUCGUGACUAGUGACUGGUGACUGGGGACUGGUGACUAUUGACUGGGGGCUCGUGAGUCGCGACUCGUGACUUGUGACUGGUGACUCGUGACUGGUGACUGGGAGCUCGUGAGUCGCGACUCGUGACUAGUGACUGGUGACUGGGGACUGGUGACUGGGGACUGGUGACUGGGGACUGGUGACUGGGGACUGGUGACUGGGGACUGGUGACUGGGGACUGGUGACUGGGGACUGGUGACUGGGGACUGGUGACUGGGGACUGGUGACUGGGGACUGGUGACUGGGGACUGGUGACUGGGGACUGGUGACUGGGGACUGGUGACUGGGGACUGGUGACUGGGGACUGGUGACUGGGGACUGGUGACUAUUGACUGGGGGCUCGUGAGUCGCGACUCGUGACUAGUGACUGGUGACUGGGGACUGGUGACUGGGGACUGGUGACUGGGGACUGGUGACUGGGGACUGGUGACUGGGGACUGGUGACUGGGGACUGGUGACUGGGGACUGGUGACUGGGGACUGGUGACUGGGGACUGGUGACUGGGGACUGGUGACUGGGGACUGGUGACUGGGGACUGGUGACUGGGGACUGGUGACUAUUGACUGGGGGCUCGUGAGUCGCGACUCGUGACUUGUGACUGGUGACUCGUGACUGGUGACUGGGAGCUCGUGAGUCGCGACUCGUGACUAGUGACUGGUGACUGGGGACUGGUGACUGGGGACUGGUGACUGGGGACUGGUGACUGGGGACUGGUGACUGGGGACUGGUGACUGGGGACUGGUGACUGGGGACUGGUGACUGGGGACUGGUGACUGGGGACUGGUGACUGGGGACUGGUGACUGGGGACUGGUGACUGGGGACUGGUGACUAUUGACUGGGGGCUCGUGAGUCGCGACUCGUGACUUGUGACUGGUGACUCGUGACUGGUGACUGGGAGCUCGUGAGUCGCGACUCGUGACUAGUGACUGGUGACUGGGGACUGGUGACUAUUGACUGGGGGCUCGUGAGUCGCGACUCGUGACUUGUGACUGGUGACUCGUGACUGGUGACUGGGAGCUCGUGAGUCGCGACUCGUGACUAGUGACUGGUGACUGGGGACUGGUGACUGGGGACUGGUGUUGAUUUAAUGAGCCAUUUGCAGUUUCACAGUCUGAAUUAGUUCAUACUUACACAUGCAUGGCUUAACCUUUGAGACAAGCAUAUGACUACUGGCAGGAUCAACCAGGUAGCAUCCAUUACUGACUCUACCAUAAUGCAAGCUUUGCGCCCACGAAAGGCAAUUAAAACGUGCAGAACAGCAGGCAUAAUUUAAGGCAACCAUAAUUUAGGGACAAUGUGAAAAACACAAAAGUUCAUCUCAAGCACCGCGUCCGAAGAUUCAGUCAAUACAUGGGCACCUCCCCAGACAUACGAGUACAUCUAGAAAGGGCUCAUACGAAAAACUAAAAAGACGGUGAAGGGGGGGGGGAUGGACCAAGCCAAAAAAGCCACACGGAUACCGUUUUAAAGGUAAGCAAAACAGGAACCACAUACGAACACCAAGGGCGUACAACGAAAACUGACAAGGAUUACAUGCAAACCGUUCAGUGCAAAAGCACAGAGCCGGCAAACACAAAUAUCAAAAGCACAUCUCACACGCCAACGUGUCAGCAAGACCCAACAUCACCGAACACACCACGCCCCACAAUGCAAAAGCAUUGCAAGCACAUGAAUUCGUCCAACAAUGUCGGCUCCGCAUCGCUAAGCAUGACAAAUUAAACGUGAGGGACAAAACCUAAGGGACGCGUGCUUCCGAGUCGGG
RNAcentral lists this long non-coding RNA (12105 nucleotides) under Cicer arietinum (chickpea). RNAcentral describes it as "long non-coding RNA (CARI_LNC002746)". The record is from RNAcentral. Lineage: Eukaryota; Viridiplantae; Streptophyta; Magnoliopsida; Fabales; Fabaceae.